This is a non-coding RNA of Acanthosepion pharaonis, 107 nucleotides long. Lineage: Eukaryota; Metazoa; Mollusca; Cephalopoda; Sepiida; Sepiidae. The record is from the annotation of a GenBank genome assembly.
ACCAGAUCACAUUCAAACACUGGUUCUCAUCCGAUUACUGAAUUUAAGCAACAUUGAGCCUGGUCAGUACCUAGAUGGGUGACUGCUUGAGAAUACCAGGUGCUAUA